RNAcentral lists this ribosomal RNA (3788 nucleotides) under Drosophila melanogaster (fruit fly). RNAcentral's name for it is "eukaryotic LSU rRNA". The stretch from base 573 to 3788 matches the Rfam family "Eukaryotic large subunit ribosomal RNA", at positions 1 to 2700 of the family's 3401-position model. Lineage: Eukaryota; Metazoa; Arthropoda; Insecta; Diptera; Drosophilidae. The record is from RNAcentral.
ACUCUAAGCGGUGGAUCACUCGGCUCAUGGGUCGAUGAAGAACGCAGCAAACUGUGCGUCAUCGUGUGAACUGCAGGACACAUGAACAUCGACAUUUUGAACGCAUAUCGCAGUCCAUGCUGUUAUGUACUUUAAUUAAUUUUAUAGUGCUGCUUGGACUACAUAUGGUUGAGGGUUGUAAGACUAUGCUAAUUAAGUUGCUUAUAAAUUUUUAUAAGCAUAUGGUAUAUUAUUGGAUAAAUAUAAUAAUUUUUAUUCAUAAUAUUAAAAAAUAAAUGAAAAACAUUAUCUCACAUUUGAAUGUGAAAAACGAAGAGAAAUAUUUUCUUUUUCAAUCAAAUAAUACUGAGAAAUGUCUAGCAUAAAAAAUUGAAAUAUUUUUCAUCUAGAAUUGUCUCUUAUUAAUGAUUCGGAAAUAGAAAAAUCUUGGUUAUGUUAUUAUUCUUCGUUGGUUCGUUAAAAAUGGAUAAAUAAAAACUUUGCAUACAAGAAUUAAUAAAAAUGUUAUAACGAAUUUAAUUAAAUGUUUUAUCAUUAUAUAUAAAGAAUUUAUGGCAAGAUAAAGUUAUAUACAACCUCAACUCAUAUGGGACUACCCCCUGAAUUUAAGCAUAUUAAUUAGGGGAGGAAAAGAAACUAACAAGGAUUUUCUUAGUAGCGGCGAGCGAAAAGAAAACAGUUCAGCACUAAGUCACUUUGUCUAUAUGGCAAAUGUGAGAUGCAGUGUAUGGAGCGUCAAUAUUCUAGUAUGAGAAAUUAACGAUUUAAGUCCUUCUUAAAUGAGGCCAUUUACCCAUAGAGGGUGCCAGGCCCGUAUAACGUUAAUGAUUACUAGAUGAUGUUUCCAAAGAGUCGUGUUGCUUGAUAGUGCAGCACUAAGUGGGUGGUAAACUCCAUCUAAAACUAAAUAUAACCAUGAGACCGAUAGUAAACAAGUACCGUGAGGGAAAGUUGAAAAGAACUCUGAAUAGAGAGUUAAACAGUACGUGAAACUGCUUAGAGGUUAAGCCCGAUGAACCUGAAUAUCCGUUAUGGAAAAUUCAUCAUUAAAAUUGUAAUAUUUAAAUAAUAUUAUGAGAAUAGUGUGCAUUUUUUCCAUAUAAGGACAUUGUAAUCUAUUAGCAUAUACCAAAUUUAUCAUAAAAUAUAACUUAUAGUUUAUUCCAAUUAAAUUGCUUGCAUUUUAACACAGAAUAAAUGUUAUUAAUUUGAUAAAGUGCUGAUAGAUUUAUAUGAUUACAGUGCGUUAAUUUUUCGGAAUUAUAUAAUGGCAUAAUUAUCAUUGAUUUUUGUGUUUAUUAUAUGCACUUGUAUGAUUAACAAUGCGAAAGAUUCAGGAUACCUUCGGGACCCGUCUUGAAACACGGACCAAGGAGUCUAACAUAUGUGCAAGUUAUUGGGAUAUAAACCUAAUAGCGUAAUUAACUUGACUAAUAAUGGGAUUAGUUUUUUAGCUAUUUAUAGCUAAUUAACACAAUCCCGGGGCGUUCUAUAUAGUUAUGUAUAAUGUAUAUUUAUAUUAUUUAUGCCUCUAACUGGAACGUACCUUGAGCAUAUAUGCUGUGACCCGAAAGAUGGUGAACUAUACUUGAUCAGGUUGAAGUCAGGGGAAACCCUGAUGGAAGACCGAAACAGUUCUGACGUGCAAAUCGAUUGUCAGAAUUGAGUAUAGGGGCGAAAGACCAAUCGAACCAUCUAGUAGCUGGUUCCUUCCGAAGUUUCCCUCAGGAUAGCUGGUGCAUUUUAAUAUUAUAUAAAAUAAUCUUAUCUGGUAAAGCGAAUGAUUAGAGGCCUUAGGGUCGAAACGAUCUUAACCUAUUCUCAAACUUUAAAUGGGUAAGAACCUUAACUUUCUUGAUAUGAAGUUCAAGGUUAUGAUAUAAUGUGCCCAGUGGGCCACUUUUGGUAAGCAGAACUGGCGCUGUGGGAUGAACCAAACGUAAUGUUACGGUGCCCAAAUUAACAACUCAUGCAGAUACCAUGAAAGGCGUUGGUUGCUUAAAACAGCAGGACGGUGAUCAUGGAAGUCGAAAUCCGCUAAGGAGUGUGUAACAACUCACCUGCCGAAGCAACUAGCCCUUAAAAUGGAUGGCGCUUAAGUUGUAUACCUAUACAUUACCGCUAAAGUAGAUGAUUUAUAUUACUUGUGAUAUAAAUUUUGAAACUUUAGUGAGUAGGAAGGUACAAUGGUAUGCGUAGAAGUGUUUGGCGUAAGCCUGCAUGGAGCUGCCAUUGGUACAGAUCUUGGUGGUAGUAGCAAAUAAUCGAAUGAGACCUUGGAGGACUGAAGUGGAGAAGGGUUUCGUGUGAACAGUGGUUGAUCACGAGUUAGUCGGUCCUAAGUUCAAGGCGAAAGCCGAAAAUUUUCAAGUAAAACAAAAAUGCCUAACUAUAUAAACAAAGCGAAUUAUAAUACACUUGAAUAAUUUUGAACGAAAGGGAAUACGGUUCCAAUUCCGUAACCUGUUGAGUAUCCGUUUGUUAUUAAAUAUGGGCCUCGUGCUCAUCCUGGCAACAGGAACGACCAUAAAGAAGCCGUCGAGAGAUAUCGGAAGAGUUUUCUUUUCUGUUUUAUAGCCGUACUACCAUGGAAGUCUUUCGCAGAGAGAUAUGGUAGAUGGGCUAGAAGAGCAUGACAUAUACUGUUGUGUCGAUAUUUUCUCCUCGGACCUUGAAAAUUUAUGGUGGGGACACGCAAACUUCUCAACAGGCCGUACCAAUAUCCGCAGCUGGUCUCCAAGGUGAAGAGUCUCUAGUCGAUAGAAUAAUGUAGGUAAGGGAAGUCGGCAAAUUAGAUCCGUAACUUCGGGAUAAGGAUUGGCUCUGAAGAUUGAGAUAGUCGGGCUUGAUUGGGAAACAAUAACAUGGUUUAUGUGCUCGUUCUGGGUAAAUAGAGUUUCUAGCAUUUAUGUUAGUUACUUGUUCCCCGGAUAGUUUAGUUACGUAGCCAAUUGUGGAACUUUCUUGCUAAAAUUUUUAAGAAUACUAUUUGGGUUAAACCAAUUAGUUCUUAUUAAUUAUAACGAUUAUCAAUUAACAAUCAAUUCAGAACUGGCACGGACUUGGGGAAUCCGACUGUCUAAUUAAAACAAAGCAUUGUGAUGGCCCUAGCGGGUGUUGACACAAUGUGAUUUCUGCCCAGUGCUCUGAAUGUCAAAGUGAAGAAAUUCAAGUAAGCGCGGGUCAACGGCGGGAGUAACUAUGACUCUCUUAAGGUAGCCAAAUGCCUCGUCAUCUAAUUAGUGACGCGCAUGAAUGGAUUAACGAGAUUCCUACUGUCCCUAUCUACUAUCUAGCGAAACCACAGCCAAGGGAACGGGCUUGGAAUAAUUAGCGGGGAAAGAAGACCCUUUUGAGCUUGACUCUAAUCUGGCAGUGUAAGGAGACAUAAGAGGUGUAGAAUAAGUGGGAGAUAUUAGACCUCGGUUUGGUAUCGUCAAUGAAAUACCACUACUCUUAUUGUUUCCUUACUUACUUGAUUAAAUGGAACGUGUAUCAUUUCCUAGCCAUUAUACGGAUAUAUUUAUUAUAUCUUAUGGUAUUGGGUUUUGAUGCAAGCUUCUUGAUCAAAGUAUCACGAGUUUGUUAUAUAAUCGCAAACAAAUUCUUUAAUAAAACGAUGCAUUUAUGUAUUUUUGAUUUGAAAAUUUGGUAUAACUCCAAUUACUCAGGUAUGAUCCAAUUCAAGGACAUUGCCAGGUAGGGAGUUUGACUGGGGCGGUACAUCUCUCAAAUAAUAACGGAGGUGUCCCAAGGCCAGCUCAGUGCGGACAGAAACCACACAUAGA